Molecule: non-coding RNA, 2484 nt
Filed under: Pan troglodytes (chimpanzee)
Lineage: Eukaryota; Metazoa; Chordata; Mammalia; Primates; Hominidae
Source: RNAcentral
CCGCAUCGAGGAGCCUUUUACAGAAGUGGCUCCAGGAGCAUCCACAUCUGCCUCUCGGGGCCCACGGGGCCCAGGCCAGCUACAGAAGCACCCUGCUUUCCAUGGGAAAAUGCUGCAAAUGGGGGAGAAAGGAGAGAAGGGUUUCAGACUGCAAAGACCCUUCGACAUCAGCUAGCACCAAGUUCUAUUAUGUAAAUAAACUGAAGGGCUUCAGACUGGGAGUGAAGCCAAGCAGGUGAUAGAAGUGUUUGUAGGAGGAUUUUUUUGACAUAAACAUGAAAUGGAGCGAGUGGUAACGCCAUCCGUCUCCUGCCCAGACCUCCCCACUGUCACUGUCCAGCCUGAAGCCGCCCUGGUGAAGCAGGUGGAGGAGCAGCUCCAUGCCCGGCUCCCCGGCCUCCCUCCCUCAGCUCCAGGGCACUCACGUGCUUGAAACAGCUGACGGGAGCAGCCUUGUAACUGUGAUCCUUCAGGAACUUCCCCCAGUCGAAGCCCAAGACCAGAGCUGCAGAGCACAGAGGACGAGUCAGACUAGGAGCCUGCGCAGCAGCCACUCCAGGAGCCUGGACCCCAAGGGCCCUGUGGGACCUGCAGAGGUGAUCCCAACAUGCAGGCAAAUUUGGGAAGCAGUGUUGCGGAUGCUGGUCCCAGCUACUGGGAAACAAGGUAAGAUGAGGCCCCUGAGAUGAGGUUCCAGCCUCAAUUCCGCCAUUCUCCUCCUACAGAGCCACACUAGGUAUGUCAUUCUACCCCCUUGGACCUCAGUUAUACUUAUCAAUAAAUGUGUGGGUUCAACACCACAUCCAAGAAUCUUUCCAUCUCUAAAGAUUCUAUAAAUAUCAGUAAUUUAGAAAAUUGGCAAGACUUUCUAGGUAGCUGCCUGUGACAUGGAGUCCGACGAGGCAUGGUCUUCCUGAAGCCACCAUGGCUGGUGAACCUUGGGCCUGUUUCCCAACUUCCUUUGAAAGGAUUUAUAAAAGUGUGGGGUGAAGACCAAGGGUGUCAGACUCCCCCAUAGUUCUUGUUUAAAAUGUACUGAAUACACCAGACUCUGGGGGAUGACGGUAGGUAAUGGAGGGUAGCUUCAGGAACCUAUAAUUUAAAAAGCUCCACAAAUGGAUUUUUCUGUCCUCUGAAGUUUGAGAACAUAAUAAAUACCAGCUGGCCACAAGCAAGGACCUUUUCAAACUUUCCUGGCCCUGGCCUUCAGUCACUUGGUGGUUCCUGUCUCAGCACCAAAGGCACCGGGAAGGAUCCAAGUGACUGCCUCUCACCUGUAAUCUAGCCAAGAUACUGGCUUUCUUGGAGUUGGAGGAGUAGCUCCUGGAGCAGGAGACGCUGCAGAACCUCUUGGUCUUGGAGAAGAAGGCUUCCCUUGUACCCACGAUACCACACAUCUCACAGACAGCUGGGAAGAGAACUUAGCACAUGACUCACCCAAUAUGGCCACCUCAAAGCAAACAAAGUGAUGGGCCCUUCAAAACCUGGGGCACUGCAUUAACCAGGUGAGCCCCUGCCCCCACAAAGGCUAAUGGAAUAAGAGGAGGAAUGGGAGGCACUGGUGUGUAUAUCCUGAAUCUACCUGAAUGAAGUGCUGCUGCUUGGCCUCCCUUGGCUACAGAUGUCAACAGAGGGGCUGAUGGAAAUCCAUGAGGACGACUGGGGGAACAGGGGACACUCUGAAGGCACCUGGCUCAGAACCACUGCCAUCCAAGGAGCGAGGAGUCCCAGGGCUGAGCAAAUGCAGCGGGGAGGUCGGCAGUUCCCCUGCUUCCCGAUCCUCAUUUUCUGCUUCACUUGACUCCUCCAGAUAGGAGCUGCUGUCACUGCCCACACUGCUGUUAUAACUCCGGAAACUAUCAUAGCCACCAAACAGCUCCAAGUCGUCAUCUUCCUCUUCCUCCAUUGGCUCUGAAGAUGGGGUCUCCUAAUGGAGGAUGACACAAACCAGGUAGAAAGAAUUAUGAUUGGCUUUAGUGCACGGGGGGAGAAGCUGCAGAUCUGCUAUCAGCCCCCUCACACUUUCGGGAACCUUUCAAAUACCCCUUUUACAAACACCAAGAUCAUUACUCCUAUUUACACAUUUCUCCACCAUGAUGCAAUUCAACAGCUUAACAAGACAGAAAAUAUGUGUUAGGAAUUCACCAGGCUCCUCUGUGGAUUUACAAAUGAUGAUAUUUUAACAUGGUUCAAAUAGAAUACUGUAUAACAAUGUGGGCCAGGUGCGGUGGCUCAUGCCUGUAAUCCUAGCACUUUGGGAGGCCGAGGCUGGCAGAUCACCUGAGGUCAGGAGUUCGAGACCAGCCUGGCCAAGAGGGUGAAACCCUGUCUCUACAAAAAAAUACAAGAAAAAGUUAGCCAGGCGUGGUGGCGGGCACCUGUAGUCCAGCUACUUGGGAGGCUGGGGCAGAGAGGCAAAGGUUGUAGUGGGCCAAGAUCGUGCCACUGCACUCCAGUCUGCAUGACAGAGCAAGACGCUAUCUC